AGAGUUUGAUCCUGGCUCAGGACGAACGCUGGCGGCGUGCUUAACACAUGCAAGUCACGGGGGCUCGCAAGAGCAACCGGCGAACGGGUGCGUAACACGUGAGCAAUCUACCGAUUUGAGGGGGAUAGCCGGCCCAACGGCCGGGUAAUACCGCAUACGCUGGAGGAGGGGAGUCCCUUUUCCAGGAAACCUCCGGGGCAAAUCGAGGAGCUCGCGGCCUAUCAGCUAGUUGGCGGGGUCAAGGCCCACCAAGGCGACGACGGGUAGCUGGUCUGAGAGGAUGGCCAGCCACAUUGGGACUGAGAGACGGCCCAGACUCCUACGGGAGGCAGCAGUGGGGAAUCUUGCGCAAUGGUCGAAAGACUGACGCAGCGACGCCGCGUGUGGGAGGACGCCUUUCGGGGUGUAAACCACUGUUGCCCGGGACGAAUGACCCUUUCGAGGGGAGUGACGGUACCGGGUGAGGAAGCACCGGCUAACUCCGUGCCAGCAGCCGCGGUAAUUC
RNAcentral lists this ribosomal RNA (505 nucleotides) under uncultured bacterium. RNAcentral describes it as "bacterial SSU rRNA". It matches the Rfam family "Bacterial small subunit ribosomal RNA", at positions 8 to 526 of the family's 1533-position model. The record is from RNAcentral.